UACGUAGGGGGCAAGCGUUGUCCGGAAUCAUUGGGCGUAAAGCGCGUGUAGGCGGCCCGGUAAGUCCGCUGUGAAAGUCCAGGGCUCAACCCUGGAAUGCCGGUGGAUACUGUCGGGCUCGAGUCCGGAAGAGGCGAGUGGAAUUCCUGGUGUAGCGGUGAGAUGCGCAGAUAUCAGGAGGAACACCGAUGGCGAAGGCAGCUCGCUGGGACGGUACUGACGCUGAGACGCGAAAGCGUGGGGAGCAAACAGG
This 253-nucleotide ribosomal RNA is filed under the name uncultured bacterium. RNAcentral describes it as "partial 16S ribosomal RNA". It matches the Rfam family "Bacterial small subunit ribosomal RNA", at positions 524 to 776 of the family's 1533-position model. The record is from RNAcentral.